CCAAGGAGUCUAACACGUGCGCAAGUCGUAGGGUUUUCCACAAAGCCCGAAGGCGCAAUGAAAGUGAACCUUGGGCGGGAUCCCGUCACCCUUUUUUCCCUUUUUAACUUCUAACGGGGGGUAAAAAGGUGUGCGGGCGCACCGCCGGCCCGUCUCGUUCGGUCGGCUCGAUCUUUCCUUUCCUUUUCGGAGGUUGGGGAUCCGGGUCGACGGAGGCGGAGCGAGAGCGUAUACGUUAGGACCCGAAAGACGGUGAACUAUUCCCGGACAGGACGAAGCCGGAGGAAACUCCGGUGGAGGUCCGCAGCGAUUCUGACGUGCAAAUCGAUCGUCGGAUCCGGGUAUA
RNAcentral lists this ribosomal RNA (346 nucleotides) under Peripatopsis capensis. Its description in RNAcentral is "eukaryotic LSU rRNA". It matches the Rfam family "Eukaryotic large subunit ribosomal RNA", at positions 666 to 919 of the family's 3401-position model. The record is from RNAcentral. Lineage: Eukaryota; Metazoa; Onychophora; Udeonychophora; Euonychophora; Peripatopsidae.